RNAcentral lists this ribosomal RNA (466 nucleotides) under uncultured bacterium. RNAcentral's name for it is "partial 16S ribosomal RNA". It matches the Rfam family "Bacterial small subunit ribosomal RNA", at positions 28 to 507 of the family's 1533-position model. The record is from RNAcentral.
GAUGAACGCUGGCGGCGUGCUUAACACAUGCAAGUCGAACGGAAAGGCUCCUGCUUGCAGGGGUACUCGAGUGGCGAACGGGUGAGUAACACGUGGGUGAUCUGCCCUGCACUUCGGGAUAAGCCUGGGAAACUGGGUCUAAUACCGGAUAGGACGAUGGUUUGGAUGCCAUUGUGGAAAGUUUUUCGGUGUGGGAUGAGCUCGCGGCCUAUCAGCUUGUUGGUGGGGUAAUGGCCUACCAAGGCGUCGACGGGUAGCCGGCCUGAGAGGGUGUACGGCCACAUUGGGACUGAGAUACGGCCCGGACUCCUACGGGAGGCAGCAGUGGGGAAUAUUGCACAAUGGGCGCAAGCCUGAUGCAGCGACGCCGCGUGGGGGAUGACGGCCUUCGGGUUGUAAACUCCUUUCGCUAGGGACGAAGCGUUUUGUGACGGUACCUGGAGAAGAAGCACCGGCUAACUACGUG